RNAcentral lists this ribosomal RNA (492 nucleotides) under uncultured bacterium. Its description in RNAcentral is "partial 16S ribosomal RNA". It matches the Rfam family "Bacterial small subunit ribosomal RNA", at positions 29 to 507 of the family's 1533-position model. The record is from RNAcentral.
AUUGAACGCUGGCGGCAUGCUUUACACAUGCAAGUCGAACGGUAACAGGCCUUCGGGUGCUGACGAGUGGCGAACGGGUGAGUAAUGCAUCGGAACGUACCCAGAGGUGGGGGAUAACGCAGCGAAAGCUGUGCUAAUACCGCAUGUGAUCUGAGGAUGAAAGCGGGGGACCGAGCAGCAAUGUUUGGCCUCGCGCCUUUGGAGCGGCCGAUGUCGGAUUAGCUAGUUGGUGGGGUAAAGGCCUACCAAGGCGACGAUCCGUAGCUGGUCUGAGAGGACGACCGGCCACACGGGGACUGAGACACGGCCCAGACUCCUACGGGAGGCAGCAGUGGGGAAUUUUGGACAAUGGGCGCAAGCCUGAUCCAGCAAUGCCGCGUGCGGGAAGAAGGCCUUCGGGUUGUAAACCGCUUUUGGCAGGAACGAAACGGUGUCCGCUAAUACCGGGCGCUAAUGACGGUACCUGCAGAAUAAGCACCGGCUAACUACGUG